AUAUGUGCCUUUUAUUGUCUUAGCCUUACUACACACAUGUAAGAAAUGCAUCAGAUUAGCUUUAGGAAAUUUAAAGAAGGUUAACACUGCCUCCUCCUUCACGUUGAUGGCUUUUGAAAUUGGUGCUCGUAUGUGCAGCGCACGACAUCUGAUUUAAAAGUAAUUUCUCAAGAUAAGGUGGAACUUCUACUGCUUAAAUAUGUCUUACCAGUCAGGGUUAGAUGGUGAUGCAAACCGCUUUGCGCAGACCAUAGGUUCAAACAUUCAGAAGAUUACGCAGCACACUGAUGAAAUCCAAAGCCUUGUAAACCAGCUUGGAACACCACAGGACAACACAGAACUUCGGCAACAGCU
Polyodon spathula (Mississippi paddlefish) is the source of this 354-nucleotide long non-coding RNA. RefSeq lists it as uncharacterized. Lineage: Eukaryota; Metazoa; Chordata; Actinopteri; Acipenseriformes; Polyodontidae. The transcript has 3 exons. The record is from RefSeq and is a predicted model, not a curated record.